UGCCCGCCAGCCGCAGGCCGGUUGGAGCGCAGCGCCUGCUCGCGCCGAGUCCGGCCCUUGCUGCGCCCCGCCCCGCAGGCCGGGAAGUCGCGCAGGUAGUAGUAGUCCAGGCAGUCGUAAAGCUCCUCCUCGUAGCUUAUGGGUGGCGGCGGCAGGGCCAGAGGCUGCAGACGCGGAAGCGCCCGCUCUGCGGCCGCUUCCAUCCUGCCCAGGCCUGUGGCCACCGGCGGCCACCUGCCCGCGUCUGGGCGCUCCUGGAAGACCCAGCAGCCCCGCCUCCAGUUCAGAUGGGCUCAGCGUGAAGGUGGGGGUGCCUUCGGCGACGCCAUAGAGGCUGACCUUGGACGACGUCACAGUGGCGGUACAGUGCCUGGAGCAGGGCUGUCUUCUUGGAGUGCGGCCUGGUAACCAGGACCUCCCCGCCAGAUCCUGUAUGUUGCUGGAGAAGGGUAGCUGACAAACUCCAACUCAGCACAGUGUUUGUGUUGGUCAAAAAUAGGAAACUAUGUUAAAGCGCGGCGGAAGUGGGAGGAUCCCUUCAGGCCAGGCAGUCAAGAGCAGCCUGGGCAACAUAGCGCGACCCCAUCUCUGAAGUCCCACCUCAGCUUCCCAGCUACUUGAACUCCAAGGUUCAUGGCUCCAAUGAGCUAUCUUCCCACUACAGCACCCCAGCCUGCGAGACUGAGGACACAUAAUCCACUGGGAGAUAAGAGAUUAGCAGCUGGCAGGCGGUGAUGCACAGCAAAAACAAAAACCAAGAGGUGAAAUAGUUGUGAAAUAAACAAGGUUUUAAAGAUACAGCAUUACCUGGAAAGAAGCUAAAGCUAUUAUGCAGCGAUGCCCAACUUGACAAAUGGCCAAAAUCAACAUCCAAUUUGGAUACCAUCAAGAUACCUGAAACCUUAUCAUGAGCCAGAUUCUGGGAGGAUCCCAAGGACCCCUCAGUUGCAGCCAUGGCGAGACUGACACUGAGGAGGACCCCAACUGUCACAAGCAACACCUGUCGAACACAGCCACUCACCUGGGGACAGAUCAAGAAGCUGUCACAGAUGGCAGAAGAAAACGUGAGGAAAGCGGGACAACCAGUCACAAUGAGUAAUUUAAUGGUAGCUAUGAUAGCGGUUAUCACCACUGCCAUGAGUAUUCCUUCAAUAAAGGCUGACACAGAGAACAA
This is a long non-coding RNA of Pongo pygmaeus (Bornean orangutan), 1174 nucleotides long. RefSeq lists it as uncharacterized. The record is from RefSeq and is a predicted model, not a curated record. The transcript has 4 exons. Lineage: Eukaryota; Metazoa; Chordata; Mammalia; Primates; Hominidae.